UUUUACCAUUUACUGAAAAAUCUCCAUUUUUGCAUGACAUUCUCAGAACUGUAUUGUUGGCAAGUCAAUGGUAAAGUGUGAAGAACUAGACAGAAUGAUUCUUCUACAAUAUUAGUUUGAUAGUAGCUAUCCUGCCCUGAAAGCAGUGGACAUGUAAAUGAUUGGAGAUCAAUUAUUAAUAAUUAGCUAAGAAAAUCAGAGAUGGAAAGACAUGUGAAGAAGAAGGAGUAGAGAAAAGAAUCAGAAAGAAAGAAAAGAACUAGAGACAAGAAGAAGUGAUGGACUUUCCCCUUUGCAGUCAGCACAUGAAGAUGAAAUCUCAGCUUGGAUCUCAAUUUGUUGACACAAGUCAGGUGCUUACAUGGAAAGGACAGUGUGGUUCACAUCUGGAAAUAAGUUUCUCAGCACUGGAACAAAGAAAACCCUCCUAAAGCAAGGGGGUAUUGCAAGGAAUGAAAAAAGUGAGGAACUCUUCAGUAGCUGACAUAAAUAAUGUACAUUAGACAACUUCAAUGAACUUCCAAAUCAGAAGCCAACACUGGUCUGGUUCACACAACUAUUAUUGUUCCACAACUAAAAUUAUGGCAAUGGGACUUGUCUAGACAAUAAAUUUUCAGAUAAUUGUACAAACAGACCAAGGAAUCAUAGAUUUCAAAGCGACCACAAGGGUCAUCCAGUCCAACCCCCUGUCAUGCAGGAAGUCACAAUCAAAGUCUCUAGUCUCUGUUUAAAGAUCUCCAAAGAAGGAGACUCCACCACAUGCCGAGGGAGUGUGUUCUACUGUCAAACAGUUCUUACUGUCAGGAUUCAGUGUUGGUUAAUAAUAAAAAUGUAUUAUUUAAUACACAUUAUAAUGUUGGCUGACUUGGAAAGCCUUUUUGAUCCAAAG
Sceloporus undulatus (fence lizard) is the source of this 889-nucleotide long non-coding RNA. RefSeq lists it as uncharacterized. NCBI's taxonomy places the organism in Eukaryota, Metazoa, Chordata, Lepidosauria, Squamata, Phrynosomatidae. The record is from RefSeq and is a predicted model, not a curated record. The transcript is spliced from 3 exons.